Molecule: ribosomal RNA, 478 nt
Filed under: uncultured bacterium
Lineage: Bacteria
Description: partial 16S ribosomal RNA
Rfam family: Bacterial small subunit ribosomal RNA
Source: RNAcentral
GACGAACGCUGGCGGCGUGCUUAACACAUGCAAGUCGAACGGUAAGGCCCUCCGGGGUACACGAGUGGCGAACGGGUGAGUAACACGUGGGUGAUCUGCCCUGCACUUCGGGAUAAGCCUGGGAAACUGGGUCUAAUACCGGAUAGGACUCCGGACUGCAUGGUCUGGGGUGGAAAGCUUUUGCGGUGUGGGAUGGGCCCGCGGCCUAUCAGCUUGUUGGUGGGGUGAUGGCCUGUCAGGGCGACGACGGGUAGCCGGCCUGGGAGGGUGACCGGCCACACUGGGACUGAGAUACGGCCCAGACUCCUACGGGAGGCAGCAGUGGGGAAUAUUGCACAAUGGGCGCAAGCCUGAUGCAGCGACGCCGCGUGAGGGAUGACGGCCUUCGGGUUGUAAACCUCUUUCAGCAUCGACGAAGCGAAAGUGACGGUAGGUGCAGAAGAAGGACCGGCCAACUACGUGCCAGCAGCCGCGGUAA